Long non-coding RNA from Drosophila ananassae, 834 nucleotides. RefSeq lists it as uncharacterized. NCBI's taxonomy places the organism in Eukaryota, Metazoa, Arthropoda, Insecta, Diptera, Drosophilidae. The record is from RefSeq and is a predicted model, not a curated record. The transcript has 3 exons.
UAUAACUCCAAUAACAUUCUGCGUUAUGCACGGUGAAAUUGGACCGAGAUAGUUCUUUGUAUACCAAGGCGGAUUAUUCGAAGCGGAAGAAUAAUUCCACGGACGCAAGUGUCGAAAAAUAUAUUCAAAUAAAAUGUAUGUAAGGCAAUGCUUAUAUCCUCACAUGCCAAAAAAUCCAUAAUUACACAAAUUCCAAAAAUAAUGUAUUCAGUUUCGUAAAGUCAGCGUUACGAAAGAAACGUACUUUAUGAGAUUUAAGUGAAAAUUUUAUUUUCAUUUAAUCUAUUUUGGAAAAAAUAAACUGAUUUGCCGAAUUCUUAUAAGGAUCGGUCAGCUAUAUACGAUCCGAUAUAUAUGUAAUAAUAUGUUGGCACCUAGUGCCAAGACCUACUACCCAAUAUUCACACUUAGUAAUCUGAUCUAAUCAAUGGUCAUAAGCACGUCGCUAUUGGAACACCAAGUAAUAAUUAACAAUAAGCAUAAAACAAUAUCCAACCUUAUAACCCAGCACAAGUAGACGGCGCCAGAAGCAGAAAUCAGCAUUAUCAGCGGGAAGAAUGACCGACUGACCGAAGCAAGCAAAAACCAGCUCGGUAUGCCGAAAUGCAUAUACAAGCAAUGCAUAGACAAGUAAUGCAUGAACAAGCAAUCUGAGUCAGCAGACUAAGAGAUAUAAUUAUGUACAACUAACAUCAUAAAAACGAAGGCAUGAAGGACGGUUAGAUGAUAUGGAAGACUUUCUGUGCAACCGCACCGAAGGACGGGAAUUGUCCACACACAUCAGACAACAAAUGAAGGAGCAAUGGAAGGAAAUCGUCACAGGAUACCAUGAUC